Molecule: small RNA, 103 nt
Filed under: Salmonella enterica
Lineage: Bacteria; Pseudomonadati; Pseudomonadota; Gammaproteobacteria; Enterobacterales; Enterobacteriaceae
Also listed under: 2 other names
Description: partial RtT sRNA
Rfam family: RtT RNA
About the family: This family represents a bacterial cis-regulatory element known as RtT RNA. The exact function of RtT is unknown although it is thought that it may be involved in changing the cellular response in relation to amino acid starvation.
Source: RNAcentral
UGCAUCUGAAGCCUGACGAGGAUGAGAACCUCCGGGGGCAAGAGGUUCGACUCGAGCGCAGCGAGAGAACGUUGCGUCAGCAACGGCCCGCAGGGCGAGCCAC